RNAcentral lists this transfer RNA (68 nucleotides) under Pyrobaculum aerophilum str. IM2. RNAcentral's name for it is "tRNA-Thr". Lineage: Archaea; Thermoproteati; Thermoproteota; Thermoprotei; Thermoproteales; Thermoproteaceae. The record is from RNAcentral.
GCCCAGGGGCAAAGCCCCGCGUAAGCCUCGUAAGCGGGAGGUCCCGGGUUCGAAUCCCGGCCGGGGCU